Molecule: ribosomal RNA, 794 nt
Filed under: Tigriopus californicus
Lineage: Eukaryota; Metazoa; Arthropoda; Copepoda; Harpacticoida; Harpacticidae
Description: eukaryotic LSU rRNA
Rfam family: Eukaryotic large subunit ribosomal RNA
Source: RNAcentral
AACACGGACGAAGGAGUCUAACAUGUGUGCGAGUCAAUGGGUUGUCUAAACCCAUAGGCAGAGUGAAAGCAAAGGUGGCUUCAUGUCACUGAGGGGUGAUGUCCUUGUGAUCGCAACCCCGGCACUUCGUAGAGACCUCGCUUCUCGCGGAGUAGCAAGAGCAUACACGUUGGGACCCGAAAGAUGGUGAACUAUGCCUGGCCAGGUUGAAGUCAGGGGAAACCCUGAUGGAGGACCGUAGCGAUUCUGACGUGCAAAUCGAUCGUCGGAGCUGGGUAUAGGGGCGAAAGACUAAUCGAACCAUCUAGUAGCUGGUUCCUUCCGAAGUUUCCCUCAGGAUAGCUGGUGCUCGUUAUCGAGUUUCAUCCGGUAAAGCGAAUGAUUAGAAGCCUUGGGGACGAAACGUCCUCAACUUAUUCUCAAACUUUAAAUGGGUGAGAUGUGUGACUUGCUUGAGUGAAGCCACACAACGAAUCGGAGUGCCAAGUGGGCCAUUUUUGGUAAGCAGAACUGGCGCUGUGGGAUGAACCAAACGUCGGGUUAAAGUGCCAAAGUGGGCGCUCAUCAGAUCCCAUGAAAGGUGUUGGUUGCUUAAGACAGCAGGACGGUGGCCAUGGAAGUCGGAAUCCGCUAAGGAGUGUGUAACAACUCACCUGCCGAAGCAACUAGCCCUGAAAAUGGAUGGCGCUAAAGCGCCCCACUUAUACCCGACCGUUGCGGCAGAGCAGACCCAUUGUGGUCCUCACGCCGCAACGAGUAGGAAGGUCCCAAGGGGUGGCCCCGAAAGCUCUUAU